CCUACGGGGGGCAGCAGUGGGGAAUAUUGGACAAUGGGGGCAACCCUGAUCCAGCCAUGCCGCGUGUGUGAAGAAGGCCCUCGGGUUGUAAAGCACUUUCAGUGAGGAAGAACGCCUGGUGGUUAAUACCCAUCAGGAAAGACAUCACUCACAGAAGAAGCACCGGCUAACUCCGUGCCAGCAGCCGCGGUAAUACGGAGGGUGCGAGCGUUAAUCGGAAUUACUGGGCGUAAAGCGCGCGUAGGUGGCUUGAUAAGCCGGUUGUGAAAGCCCCGGGCUCAACCUGGGAACGGCAUCCGGAACUGUCAAGCUAGAGUGCAGGAGAGGAAGGUAGAAUUCCCGGUGUAGCGGUGAAAUGCGUAGAGAUCGGGAGGAAUACCAGUGGCGAAGGCGGCCUUCUGGACUGACACUGACACUGAGGUGCGAAAGCGUGGGUAGCAAACAGGAUUAGCUACCCUUGUAGUC
RNAcentral lists this ribosomal RNA (465 nucleotides) under Vreelandella stevensii. RNAcentral's name for it is "partial 16S ribosomal RNA". It matches the Rfam family "Bacterial small subunit ribosomal RNA", at positions 338 to 795 of the family's 1533-position model. The record is from RNAcentral. Lineage: Bacteria; Pseudomonadati; Pseudomonadota; Gammaproteobacteria; Oceanospirillales; Halomonadaceae.